Molecule: ribosomal RNA, 497 nt
Filed under: uncultured bacterium
Lineage: Bacteria
Description: partial 16S ribosomal RNA
Rfam family: Bacterial small subunit ribosomal RNA
Source: RNAcentral
GAUGAACGCUGGCGGCGUGCCUAAUACAUGCAAGUCGAGCGAACGGACGAGAAGCUUGCUUCUCUGAUGUUAGCGGCGGACGGGUGAGUAACACGUGGAUAACCUACCUAUAAGACUGGGAUAACUUCGGGAAACCGGAGCUAAUACCGGAUGAUAUUUUGAACCGCAUGGUUCAAAAGUGAAAGACGGUCUUGCUGUCACUUAUAGAUGGAUCCGCGCUGCAUUAGCUAGUUGGUAAGGUAACGGCUUACCAAGGCAACGAUGCAUAGCCGGCCUGAGAGGAUGAGCAGCGACAGUGGGAGUGAGACAAGGCCAAGACUCGUAGGGGAGGGAGCGGGGGGGAAGUGGGGAAAAUGGGGGAAAGCCUGGUGAAGUAAUGCCGCGUGGAGGAAGAAGGAAUUCGGGGGGGAAAAUGAUUUUGUACGGAACGAAAGGGAUCUGGUUAAUACCCGGGGCUAAUGACGGUACCGGAAGAAUAAGCACGGGGUAACUAAGGG